RNAcentral lists this ribosomal RNA (776 nucleotides) under uncultured Neocallimastigales. RNAcentral's name for it is "partial large subunit ribosomal RNA". It matches the Rfam family "Eukaryotic large subunit ribosomal RNA", at positions 23 to 620 of the family's 3401-position model. The record is from RNAcentral. Lineage: Eukaryota; Fungi; Neocallimastigomycota; Neocallimastigomycetes; Neocallimastigales.
AGAGAGAGACAUGCGCGCAUAUCAAUAAGCGGAGGAAAAGAAACUAACAAGGAUUCCCUUAGUAACGGCGAGUGAAGCGGGAAGAGCUCAAAUUUGAAAUCUUCAAGGUUUUACCUUGACGAAUUGUAGUUUAAAGAAGUGUUUUCUGCUGAAGUUUUGGUAAAAGUUCUUUGGAAUAGGACAUCAUAGAGGGUGAGAAUCCCGUAUUUGACCAUUAUUUUCAGCUUUGUGAUACACUUUCAAAGAGUCGGAUUGUUUGGGAAUGCAGUCCAAAAUGGGUGGUAAAUUUCAUCUAAAGCUAAAUAUUGGCGAGAGACCGAUAGCGAACAAGUACCGUGAGGGAAAGAUGAAAAGAACUUUGAAAAGAGAGUUAAACAGUACGUGAAAUUGUCAAAAGGGAAGCGUUUGACACCAGUGUUGUUUUCUCGAAAAUCAAUUAAAAAUGGCUCGAUUUUGUAUUGCUUGAGACCUUAAAAGCUCACUGUACAUUUUUCCGUGUCUUUUUUAAUGCACUUUUCAUUUAACAAGUCAACAUCAGUUUCUUUUGUUGUAAAAGGGUCAUUGGAAGGUGGCUUUCUUUUCGGAGAAAGUGUUUAUAGCCUUUGGCCUCUGCAAUCGAAGAGACUGAGGUCUGCAGCGUAGACUCUUCGGGGUUAGAUACAUUUGUGCUAAGUUAUAGCUUUUUAUAGACAACUUGUUGACUAUAAUUAGUCUUGUAGCUUACUCGCUUAUGCUAUUUUACCUACGCUUAGGAUGUUGAAGAUGUAGCACAUCAU